This 253-nucleotide ribosomal RNA is filed under the name uncultured bacterium. RNAcentral's name for it is "partial 16S ribosomal RNA". It matches the Rfam family "Bacterial small subunit ribosomal RNA", at positions 524 to 776 of the family's 1533-position model. The record is from RNAcentral.
UACAGAGGUCUCAAGCGUUGUUCGGAUUCAUUGGGCGUAAAGGGUGCGUAGGCGGCGCGGUAAGUCGGGUGUGAAAUCUUGGAGCUUAACUCCGAAACUGCAUUCGAUACUGCCGUGCUUGAGGACUGGAGAGGAGACUGGAAUUUACGGUGUAGCGGUGAAAUGCGUAGAUAUCGCUAGGAACUCCGAUGGCGAAGGCAAGGUGCUGGACCCUUUCUGACGCUGAGGCGCGAAAGCCAGGGGAGCGAACGGG